AUUGAACGCUGGCGGCAUGCCUUACACAUGCAAGUCGAACGGCAGCGCGGACUUCGGUCUGGCGGCGAGUGGCGAACGGGUGAGUAAUACAUCGGAACGUACCCUGUUGUGGGGGAUAACUAGUCGAAAGAUUAGCUAAUACCGCAUACGACCUGAGGGUGAAAGUGGGGGACCGCAAGGCCUCACGCAGCAGGAGCGGCCGAUGUCUGAUUAGCUAGUUGGUGGGGUAAAGGCCCACCAAGGCGACGAUCAGUAGCUGGUCUGAGAGGACGAUCAGCCACACUGGGACUGAGACACGGCCCAGACUCCUACGGGAGGCAGCAGUGGGGAAUUUUGGACAAUGGGGGCAACCCUGAUCCAGUAAUGCCGCGUGUGAAGAAGGCCUUCGGGUUGUAAAGCACUUUUGUCCGGAAAGAAAUCGCGCUGGUUAAUACCUGGCGUGGAUGACGGUACCGGAAGAAUAAGCACCGGCUAACUACGUGCCAGCCGCCGCAGUAA
RNAcentral lists this ribosomal RNA (498 nucleotides) under uncultured bacterium. RNAcentral's name for it is "partial 16S ribosomal RNA". It matches the Rfam family "Bacterial small subunit ribosomal RNA", at positions 30 to 523 of the family's 1533-position model. The record is from RNAcentral.